Molecule: long non-coding RNA, 429 nt
Filed under: Homo sapiens (human)
Lineage: Eukaryota; Metazoa; Chordata; Mammalia; Primates; Hominidae
Description: non-protein coding lnc-FAM120B-4:1
Source: RNAcentral
UGGCAGCCCGUUCUGCUCCCGAAUGCCCCGGCUUAGUCAGUCUGGGAUGCGGCCCUGGACACCGGGCUUUAUGCAGCUCUGAAGUGAUCCCAGCACACAGCCCGGGUCAAGCUCAGCGCUCGGCAACCAUAGGCACCCAACAACGGGCUGCAGCCAUCAGUAACAACGGCAGCUCCAACGCCCAGAGAACUCACGGAGCAGACACACAUCAGAUGAAGACGCGGAGGCCUGAGCGCUGGGGGUCGCCCGGGGCUGCACAGCGGGUCAGAGGCCAACCCUGGGCGGAGCCAGGCCACACCCUCCCUCAAGGAUUCACAGUCUCCCCAAAGUAACCGCAACGAGGGACCCUCCCGUCACCAAACUUCCUUUCAGUCACUUCCGCUUGUACUAAUUCUGGCCCAACCGUUCAUUAUAUUUUUACAAUUCUUA